AAGUCGUAACAAGGUUUCCGUAGGUGAACCUGCGGAAGGAUCAUUAAUGAAUAACUUUGGCGUGGUUGUAGCUGGCUCUUAGGAGCAUGUGCACACCCGUCAUCUUUAUCUUUCCACCUGUGCACACAAUGUAGAUCUGGAUAACUCUCGCUCUUCGGAGCGGAAACAAGGAUUGCUGCGUCGCAAGGCCAGCUCUCUUUGAAUUUCCAGGUCUAUGUCAUUACAAACCCCAAUUGAAUGAUGAAGAAUGUAGUCAAUGGGCUCUAAGCCUAUAAAACACAAUACAACUUUCAGCAACGGAUCUCUUGGCUCUC
This 314-nucleotide unclassified non-coding RNA is filed under the name Coprinellus sp. RNAcentral describes it as "partial internal transcribed spacer region". The stretch from base 1 to 46 matches the Rfam family "Eukaryotic small subunit ribosomal RNA", at positions 1786 to 1831 of the family's 1831-position model. The record is from RNAcentral. Lineage: Eukaryota; Fungi; Basidiomycota; Agaricomycetes; Agaricales; Psathyrellaceae.